This 3160-nucleotide unclassified non-coding RNA is filed under the name Hevea brasiliensis (rubber tree). Lineage: Eukaryota; Viridiplantae; Streptophyta; Magnoliopsida; Malpighiales; Euphorbiaceae. The record is from RNAcentral.
UCACUAUGUUCUCUGUUCUUGCUGCUUUCCCUAUCAUCCCUCUCCCUCCCUCCCUCUCUGCUUCUCUCCCUUCGUUCUCUGUCAACCACACCUGCAAACGUAUCAUUCUUGUUAACAUAGUAUAUGACCUGUUCCAACAGGCAAUCAUUGCAAAGAAUCCCUUCAAGUGCUCAUACAAUUUAAACAAAAAAAAGUUCAAGCCAAUGUGCAAAAUAAUAUAUUUCCGAAGAAAAAUAAAAGUCCACAGAAUGUGGCCUAGAGGGUACAAUACCGUCCUCCAUUUUUCAUAUGUGUUAAGUGCAACAAGAUUAGAUUGAUCAAUCCAGUCAUGUGGUUUCAAAUCAAACUUUUUAAAAUUUUCAGAUCAGAUUUGAAUUUUCAAUAUUCAUUGAAUACUCAAUCCAAAUAGAUAUGCAUGCAUACAUAUUUGAGAAACACACAGACAUUUACAAGGGUAGAAGUUUUUAUUAAUUAAUUUUACAAAAUAUUAACUACUAUUUUAAUAAUGUUGUAUCACAGAAUUUUCUUUUUUCUUUUUCUCCAAAAUUGGCUAUAUGAAAAUCUUUAAAUAAAAAAAAAGUUAAUUAAACCAUUAAAAUCAGAUAGAUGAUUAACUGGAUACCUAAUGUUUUCAAAUGGAUUCAGGAUUUUCAAAUUUCCGAUCAGACAAUUUUAAAAAAAAAAAAAAUGUAGCAGAUCAAAUAUCUAAUUCAUUCCCAGCCCCAAGCCAAAUAAUGACAAACACUUUUAUACACACAUCUAAUUAAAAUGUAUUUAGUUUUAACUCUUGAAACAGAUGGCUUUAUGUUUGACAUAUAGUCAGACAGGGAAACAACCAAUAGUAUAAGAGGGAGUAUCAUAGCUCCCUACACACACAUAAUCAGAGAAAUGCUCACUCACCUAGCUCCUCAACCUCCCAUCCUGCACGCCCAGCACCAGGAGGCAAUCUUCCAGAUUCAGCUUGUUGGGUUUUAACACGGAACUUUUUCUUCAGGUUGCCAAAUUCAUCAUAUAACUCACCAUCAUCCUGAUAGUGGAUUGUAAGAACUGUAAAACAAGAAUGUAUCAAAUAAUUACAAAAUCAUGAUAGUGAAAGUAGAUCUUACUUCUUCUGCUUCCUUCCGACGUCGCCUAGUUUCCUCUAUUUCUUCUUCAUCAAGUUCUUUGUAACCACCACCUCGCCCUCCCCUGUGCAAUGGGAACAAACAAAUAUCAGCAGAUUUUUUUACAGAAACCAUAACAUAGCCAAGGAGGGAGGAGUUGAAAGGAACUAAAGUGACAGCUUAGUGGGCCCCAUAUAAAAACAGUAAACUAAAUAUGAGACUUCAGAAAAAUUUAAUCUGAUUCCUUUUGGAUAGAAAAUGGCUGGCUGUGAUAUGCAUAUAGGAAUGGGUACGUAAAUGCUGUUAUCCUAUGAAUAGAAUUGUGACAUUAUACCCCAUUGAUUUGUUUAAAAACAUGCAGAGUUAAUGCAAAGAAAAAGAAAAAGAAAAUCCUAAAAUACGCUUUGGUCCAUACUUUUAAACUUAGCAAUUUUAGUCAUUACACUACCAUCAGUGAGAAGUACGACUAAAGCAUUUUAUAAUAUAAAAAUUCAGGGAUUACAGUGGAAUUAAAUUUUAAAAUUUUAGGAAUUAAAGUGUGGUCUAAUUAAACAUUCAGGACUAAACUAAACUGUAAUGAAAAAUUCAUAAUUUUGUAAUCAAGUAUAUAAACCACAAGGAUCAAAAUUGCUCAUUUUGAAACAGUGAGGACUAAAGUGUAUAUUAUGAUAGACCUUAGGGAAUUUUUUUUGCAAUUAACCUAUAAAUGUAAUGCAGGAAUUUGUUGAAAAAACAAUUGAGCUCUUUUGUCAAUGUAAGACACCAGUAUACUUAAAUUCAAAGAUUUAUAUUAACUUCUACAUAUGUUUGUGAUAUCCAAUAAGUAUGACAAAAGGCAUGAGAAAGCUUGUUAUUUCACUCCCCAUAAACUUAUUAAAAAGAACUGCACCACAGGAACUCCAAGAAACAAGGUGGGAAAGAGAAGGAAAAAAAAAGAUCCAUAACCAAGUAAUUAAUAUAUGGUAGGGAAGGAUAUAAACCUAUCACAGCAGGCUUACAACAAUCAUCAGCCUUGAGCCCUUAGCCUUAAGAACAUCAAAACAAACAGAACUAAAACAAACUGAAGCAAUUAUCAUGUAUACCUCACACCACCCUCACUGUGACCAGGUUUAUUGGUGUUGCAAAUAUUGCACUUUGUACGUUUUGCCCAGUUGACAUUGCCACACAUUGGACAAGGCCAGUCAUUGGGACCAAAAAGUCCUGUAGAACCAGUGGCAGACCGAUUGGGGGCCCCAGAAUUAUGGGCACUAUGACCCCUCCCACGACCACCAGCCCCUGAGCUUCCACCAAAGGCACCAGAAGGUCGAGCACUUCCACAUCGGUUGCACACACCUCGGAAAGCAAAAUUGACAUUGGAACAACUUGUAUUUGGACACAACCAGUCUCCAUCCUGUUGCCAUGCUUUCCCAGCAGCCUCACCCAUGCCUCUACCUCUUCCAACACCAACACCAUUCAUACCCCUAGCACUUUCUUCCAACCCACCAAAAUCACCACCAACAAUUGGAACAGCCCCAGAGUUAUAUGUGUGGUCAUCUUUGCUUUUGGACUCUGCCAUAAAUACUCCAAUUAUAUUACCAUGAAAAUCCUUGUUGUUGAACCAUUCAACAGCAGCUAAAGCAGCAUGUGGAUCCUCAUAUGUAACCGUAGCAUCCCCCUUUGGCUCAUUUGUUAUCUUGUCCCGAUAAAACCAUAUCCUAGGCCGACCGGUUCGCUUGUCUUUCUUUAGCAACCCAAUGGUGCCAAAAUAUUCAGCCAACAUAUUUUCGUCAGUGCCCUGAGGCAAGUUACAAACAUAGACAGACCCAUUUGAAGGGGCUCCUUUUCCUGAAUAGGUUGCCAUCGUGCUCCAAUUUCAUCAAAUUUAACACAAACAAAACUGCUUCUCAGCUCUGAAGAUUGAAGAAUCGAAUCAGAAGUAGAAGUCAAUUUCAGGAUCCUUUAGUUUCAUUAGGGGUUUCUUCGUCUAGCCGGAAAUCACAAACGAGAGAACAAGCCUGCUGAUUGAGCCCUUGCACAGUAGUCGCGAUUAGAGCUCAAAAGGAAAAGGGAAAAAGGAU